Amphiprion ocellaris (clown anemonefish) is the source of this 772-nucleotide long non-coding RNA. Lineage: Eukaryota; Metazoa; Chordata; Actinopteri; Pomacentridae. The record is from Ensembl.
UAAAAGGGUGAGUUUUCAUGGAAAACAUGAAAUUGUCUGGAUGACCCCACACCUUUGAAUGGAAGGUCAACUUUCACUUGGUACAGUUUGUCUUUACAAACUGAUCUUUACAUAUAAAAAGAGAAGAGAAUACGAUAAUUAUUUACAUCCCCCUGCAUUUUGUGGAGCUUUUUUGGUACAAAGUGUGUCUCUGUUGCAGAAAAUCUAUUUCAAGCAUGUUUUUUCUUUUUUGCAUGUUUUAGGGAGCUAAGAUGUGUAGAAAUGACAGCCAGGCACUGGAAAUAAUCAGUUUUCUGGUUCUUAUCAUGGCAGCUGGCUGUGAUCAACAGACACCAGAACAAACAGCAGACAACUAGAGAAGAAAGCCUCCCCUCUGCACAGGUCAGGUAUCUCUGAGACGUCACUAAAAAACAAGACUGCAGCAGGCAGCUGGAGGAUUCCUGUCUGCAGCCUUGGAGGCUUCGUGGAAGACGGACAGAAGCACCGAGAGACUUGGAGCUGGGGUUCCCAGUUUUCUUUUUGUGAUCAGAUUAUCUAAUACUGAAGAAGAGCAGAAUAUUCUGACAGGAACUGAGGGAGGAAACAUCACUCUGCCUGAUCCUGUACUGGAGAGAGGAUUUCUGUUUUUUGGAGGGUAUAUUAUUGCUAUGGUGAAUAAGAGAGAAUUCACCAUAGAAGAGAACAUUUACAUUAGCAGACUUCACUGGAAUAAAACCUCUGGACUCUUCACUCUCACAGAUCUGCAGAAGAGAGACUCUGGGAUUUAUAAUAU